This 497-nucleotide ribosomal RNA is filed under the name uncultured bacterium. Its description in RNAcentral is "partial 16S ribosomal RNA". It matches the Rfam family "Bacterial small subunit ribosomal RNA", at positions 28 to 507 of the family's 1533-position model. The record is from RNAcentral.
GAUGAACGCUGGCGGCGUGCCUAAUACAUGCAAGUCGAGCGAACGGACGAGAAGCUUGCUUCUCUGAUGUUAGCGGCGGACGGGUGAGUAACACGUGGAUAACCUACCUAUAAGACUGGGAUAACUUCGGGAAACCGGAGCUAAUACCGGAUGAUAUUUUGAACCGCAUGGUUCAAAAGUGAAAGACGGUCUUGCUGUCACUUAUAGAUGGAUCCGCGCUGCAUUAGCUAGUUGGUAAGGUAACGGCUUACCAAGGCAACGAUGCAUAGCCGACCUGAGAGGGUGAUCGGCCACACUGGAACUGAGACACGGUCCAGACUCCUACGGGAGGCAGCAGUAGGGAAUCUUCCGCAAUGGGCGAAAGCCUGACGGAGCAACGCCGCGUGAGUGAUGAAGGUCUUCGGAUCGUAAAACUCUGUUAUUAGGGGAGAACAUAUGUGUAAGUAACUGUGCACAUCUUGACGGUACCUAAUCAGAGAGCCACGGCUAACUACGUG